RNAcentral lists this long non-coding RNA (2425 nucleotides) under Ananas comosus (pineapple). RNAcentral's name for it is "long non-coding RNA (ACOM_LNC029390)". Lineage: Eukaryota; Viridiplantae; Streptophyta; Magnoliopsida; Poales; Bromeliaceae. The record is from RNAcentral.
GAUAGCAGUUUUCUAUUAAGCUUUAUAAUAGACACAAAAGAGUAAGAUUGCAAUGUAUACAUGUUCGCAAGUGUAAACUUGAUAAAACUAUUCUAUUAAGCUCUAAGGCCCUGUUUGGAUCGCGGGAUAAGCGGGGAUAACGAAAGUUAUCCCUGCUAUUCUGCCAAACGGGGUGAAAUUUGGCCGGGAUAUUUUAUCCCGGUCAAACCUUGCUAUUCCCGGUUAUCCCGGAAUAGCAAGGGAUUUGCUAUUCCACCAUUUUGGUGGAACAGUGCUAUUCCAAUGCUUAAUCUCAAGCUUAAUUAAACUUAUAAAUUGAAUUAAACUAAAUUAAACUAAAUUAUAUAAAUAUAAUAUGUUAUAUAUUAUAAUACAUUAUUUUUAUUAUAAAAUUAUUAAUUGUACUAUAUUAAUACAUAUUAUUUAUAUUUAAAUAUUAUAAUAAAAUAUUUAAAAAUUUAAAUUCAAAUAUAAUAAGUGGAUAAUAUCAUUAUUUUUUAUUUACAAAACCCAUUAUCUUUCUUAUUCCAUCUUACCUAACCAAACGCUAUUUUUUUUAUUCCAGGAAUAACCUAAUUUUCAUCCAAACGCAAAAUUGAUCUAAUCCUCGCUUAUACCUCAAUUUAUACCUAUCCCUGGAAUAGCCACUUUUUCCUUAUCCCCGAACCAAACGAUACCUAAGAGUGUUCUAUUCUACUAUGAGAAAAGAGUGUUGACACAAUAAAGCUAGCUAUUAAGAAUGUUCUAUUAACUAUUAACCUUUACAACUGUUCUAUUAUGGCAUAAAAGUGUUUUAUUCUACUAUGACAAAAGAGUGUUGACAAGUAUAAAGCUAAUAGAGUGUUCUUUUAACCUUUACAACUGUUCUAUUAUGCAAUAAAAGUGUUCUAUUCUACUAUGACAAAAAUUUGUUCACAACCAUAAAGCUAUUAAGAAUAUUCUAUUCACCUUUACAACUGUUCUAUUAAGCCUUAAGAGUGUUUUAUUCUACUAUGACAAAGGAGUGUGACAAUCAUAAAGCUAGCUAUUAAGAGUGUUCUAUUUAACCUUUACAACUGUUCUAUUAUGGCAUAAAACUGUUAUAAAGCCUAAAACUGAUAGCAGAUUCCAUUAAGCUUUAAGAAUAUUUUAUUAAGUCAUAAGAGGGUAAGAUUGGAAUGCAUACAUGUUCGCAACUGCAAAUCUGAUAAAAGUAUUCUAUUAUGCUCUAAGAGUGUUUUAUUCUACUAUGACAAAAGAGCGUUAACAACCAUAAAGCUAUUCAGAUUGUUCUAUUAACCUUUACAAUUAUUCUAUUAUGGCAUAAAGCUGUUAUAAAGCCUACAACUGAUAGCAGUGUUUAGUGAAACUUUAAGAAUAUUCUAUUAAGUCAUAAGAGGGUAAGAUUACAAAUGCAUACAUGUUCGCAACUAUAAACCUGAUAAAAGUAUUCUAUUAAGUCCUAGAAAUGUUCUACUAUGACAAAAGAGUGUUCACAAUCAUAAAGCUAAUAAUAGUGUUCUAUUAAGCUGUAAGAGUGUUCUUUUAUGCUAUAAGAGUGUCAGAUUGUCAAGCAUAUAUGUUCGCAAACACAAAUUCUAUAAAAGUGUUCUACUAAGAGUGUUCUUAUAAGCUCUAAGACUAAACCCUUUAUGGCAUAAGAGUAACAGAUUGUAAUGCAUACAUAAUUCUAGCCAACAAUACAUAUAUGAACACUUCUAUCAGCAAAUAUAUUUGCUGGUAUAUUAUAUUUGCUGGAUUGUGAACACUUCUAUCAGCUGGCCUAAUAGAACAUUCUAAACCACAAGCUUGCAUAAUAGAAUUCACAUACAUUAUUAUAACAUAAUAGAACAAUCUCAUCUUAAUACAAUUUUUGUUUCGUUGAAUGCGAACAUCUAAAUGCUGUGAAUAAAUGCUGUGGAUAAUAGAGCAUCUAUUAAGUGCAAAAAUAAUAUAUACAACUGUUAAGAGUGUUCACAACCAUAAACACCUUAAAAGUGUUCUAUUAUCCGUUAUAACUGUUCUAUUAUGGCAUAAAAGUAUUCUAAAUCAUAAAAUAAUGUUCACAAUUAUAAACCUAUUUAGAGUGUUCUAUUAUCCUUUACAACAGUUCUAUUAUGGCAUAAAAUGUUUCUAAAUUCUAAAACAGUGUUCACAACUAUAAACUUAUUAAGAGUGUUCUAUUAACCUUUACAUCUAUUCUAUUAUUAGAUCAAAGUGUUCAUAAUCCUGACAGCUGAUAGGAGUGUUCUAUUAUGCCCUAGGAUUGUUAUAUUAUGCCAUAAGAGGGUUCGAUUGCAACUCAUACAUGUUCGGAACCAUAAAAAUGGAACAUUCUAAACCCUAAACCCUAAUAGAACUGCUCACUGUCACAUGGAUUGUGAAUAUUCCUAUCAGCUGGCCUAAUAGAACAUUCUAAACCACAAGCUUGCAUAAUAGAAUUCAC